AUCCACUGUUUCAAUUGUUGGUAUAUUAGUGUAUUCGAACUGUACUUAACCAAGCCUACUUAUCAGUCCUGGCGAUGUCUUACUCUCUCUCCCCUGCCUCUGAAGGAAUGGUGUUAAUCCGCAGUGACAGCGGGCAGUUGAUCUUGGUCUCUCAGCAGGCUCUGGCACAGGCUCAGGGAAUGCUGCCAAAACCAGCCAGUGCCACUGCUUAGACCCCAUCCUCACAGGCAACUGUAACCACUACACCAAUCAUCAGAAUUUCUCUCCCACCUUCCAGUGCAUCAGCUACUAACAAUAUUAAACUUAACCCCACUACAGGGACUGCCGUUCAGAAACCACCCACCGCUACAGGGACUGCUAUUUUCACACCAUUAUGUACAACAGGAGCUACCAUUAUUAAACCAGCCGAUGUUACAGGGACAGCCAUCAGAAAGCCCAGCUCUACCAUCGGGCCUGUUAUCAAAGCCAGUCAAAUGACUCCAAACAGCAGCACACCGGGGACCUUUAACCAGAGGACUAAUUCUGUCACUGCAACUACCAUAAUUAAUACCUCUGCUGUAAAGUCUGUGGGCAAAGGUGUUCUCUCCACCCAGCGUAAUGCCCCACAUAUGGUGUCUCCUAAUGUACCGACCAGAUCUAGCACAAACACAU
This is a long non-coding RNA of Cyprinus carpio (common carp), 651 nucleotides long. The record is from Ensembl. Lineage: Eukaryota; Metazoa; Chordata; Actinopteri; Cypriniformes; Cyprinidae.